This 78-nucleotide microRNA precursor is filed under the name Fusarium oxysporum f. sp. lycopersici 4287. RNAcentral's name for it is "Fusarium oxysporum f. sp. lycopersici microRNA mir-598". The record is from RNAcentral. Lineage: Eukaryota; Fungi; Ascomycota; Sordariomycetes; Hypocreales; Nectriaceae.
UGGUGAUGGUGAUGAUGGUGGUGAUGAUGAUGGUGAUGCGGACGGGAGUCUCGGUCAUCAUCUCCACCAUCUUCUCUA